RNAcentral lists this ribosomal RNA (253 nucleotides) under uncultured bacterium. RNAcentral describes it as "partial 16S ribosomal RNA". It matches the Rfam family "Bacterial small subunit ribosomal RNA", at positions 524 to 776 of the family's 1533-position model. The record is from RNAcentral.
UACGAAGGGGGCUAGCGUUGCUCGGAAUCACUGGGCGUAAAGCGCACGUAGGCGGCUUCUCAAGUCAGGGGUGAAAUCCUGGAGCUCAACUCCAGAACUGCCUUUGAUACUGAGGGGCUCGAGUCCGGGAGAGGUGAGUGGAACUGCGAGUGUAGAGGUGAAAUUCGUAGAUAUUCGCAAGAACACCAGUGGCGAAGGCGGCUCACUGGCCCGGUACUGACGCUGAGGCGCGAAAGCGUGGGGAGCAAACAGG